CCUUAAAGAACCUGCCUUUGCAGUGCUCACACAGAUUGUCUGAUGAAAAUAGAGCAGUAAGUAAUCUCUGCAGGCUUGUAGCUCAGGUGGUUAGAGCGCACCCCUGAUAAGGGUGAGGUCGGUGGUUCAAGUCCACUCAGGCCUACCAAAUUUGCGAAGCAAAUUUGAAGAGGUUGCAAACGAUGGGGCUAUAGCUCAGCUGGGAGAGCGCCUGCUUUGCACGCAGGAGGUCUGCGGUUCGAUCCCGCAUAGCUCCACCAUCUUUACUGCGAACACAAGAAAACUUCAGAGUGAACCUGAAAAGGUGCACUGCGAAGUUUUGCUCUUUAAAAAUCUGGAUCAAGCUGAAAAUUGAAACGACACACAGUUAAUGUGUGUUCGAGUCUCUCAAAUUUUCGCGACACGAUGAUGUUUUACGAAACAUCUUCGGGUUGUGA
This 437-nucleotide unclassified non-coding RNA is filed under the name Klebsiella pneumoniae subsp. pneumoniae. RNAcentral's name for it is "partial 16S-23S ribosomal RNA intergenic spacer". The stretch from base 325 to 430 matches the Rfam family "Salmonella enterica Typhi npcRNA 44". Lineage: Bacteria; Pseudomonadati; Pseudomonadota; Gammaproteobacteria; Enterobacterales; Enterobacteriaceae. The record is from RNAcentral.